RNAcentral lists this ribosomal RNA (404 nucleotides) under Vibrio parahaemolyticus. Its description in RNAcentral is "bacterial SSU rRNA". It matches the Rfam family "Bacterial small subunit ribosomal RNA", at positions 256 to 652 of the family's 1533-position model. The record is from RNAcentral. Lineage: Bacteria; Pseudomonadati; Pseudomonadota; Gammaproteobacteria; Vibrionales; Vibrionaceae.
GGUAAGGGCCCACCAAGGCGACGAUCCCUAGCUGGUAGUCGAGGAUGAUCAGCCACACUGGAACUGAGACACGGUCCAGACUCCUACGGGAGGCAGCAGUGGGGAAUAUUGCACAAUGGGCGCAUGCCUGAUGCAGCCAUGCCGCGUGUGUGAAGAAGGCCUUCGGGCCGUAAAGCACUUUCAGUCGUGAGGAAGGUAGUGUAGUUAAUAGCUGCAUUAUUUGACGUUAGCGACAGAAGAAGCACCGGCUAACUCCGUGCCAGCAGCCGCGGAAUUACGGAGGGUGCGAGCGUUAAUCGGAAUUACUGGGCGUAAAGCGCAUGCAGGUGGUUUGUUAAGUCAGAUGUGAAAGCCCGGGGCUCAACCUCGGAAUUGCAUUUGAAACUGGCAUCAGAGAGUACUGU